ACUGUUAGCCUGCGUGCAGGCCCAAGGGAACUGAUAGUGGUAUCAGUUCCCUUGGGCCUGCACGCAGGCUACUGUACUGUUUAAGCC
This is a non-coding RNA of Paramuricea clavata, 87 nucleotides long. The record is from the annotation of a GenBank genome assembly. Lineage: Eukaryota; Metazoa; Cnidaria; Anthozoa; Malacalcyonacea; Plexauridae.